CAGUAGCCGCGGGAACACAGAGGGUGCGAGCGUUAAUCGGAUUUACUGGGCGUAAAGCGUGCGUAGGCGGCUUCUUAAGUCGGAUGUGAAAUCCCUGAGCUUAACUUAGGAAUUGCAUUCGAUACUGGGAUGCUAGAGUAUGGGAGAGGAUGGUAGAAUUCCAGGUGUAGCGGUGAAAUGCGUAGAGAUCUGGAGGAAUACCGAUGGCGAAGGCAGCCAUCUGGCCUAAUACUGACGCUGAGGUACGAAAGCAUGGGGAGCAAACAGGAUUAGAUACCCCGGUAGUCCCUGUCUCUUAUAC
Molecule: ribosomal RNA, 301 nt
Filed under: uncultured bacterium
Lineage: Bacteria
Description: partial 16S ribosomal RNA
Rfam family: Bacterial small subunit ribosomal RNA
Source: RNAcentral